Molecule: transfer RNA, 59 nt
Filed under: Cycetogamasus diviortus
Lineage: Eukaryota; Metazoa; Arthropoda; Arachnida; Mesostigmata; Parasitidae
Description: tRNA-Arg
Source: RNAcentral
ACAAAAGAAGCGAAAUAUUGCAUUCAGUUUCGGCCUGAAUUUUGAGUAAUCCUUUUGUA